CCUACGGGCGGCAGCAGUGGGGAAUAUUGGACAAUGGGCGAAAGCCUGAUCCAGCCAUGCCGCGUGUGUGAAGAAGGCCUUCGGGUUGUAAAGCACUUUCAGUGGGGAAGAAAGCCUUGGGGCUAAUACCCUCGAGGAAGGACAUUACCCACAGAAGAAGCACCGGCUAACUCCGUGCCAGCAGCCGCGGUAAUACGGAGGGUGCGAGCGUUAAUCGGAAUUACUGGGCGUAAAGCGCGCGUAGGCGGUCUGAUAAGCCGGUUGUGAAAGCCCCGGGCUCAACCUGGGAACGGCAUCCGGAACUGUCAGGCUAGAGUGCAGGAGAGGAAGGUAGAAUUCCCGGUGUAGCGGUGAAAUGCGUAGAGAUCGGGAGGAAUACCAGUGGCGAAGGCGGCCUUCUGGACUGACACUGACGCUGAGGUGCGAAAGCGUGGGUAGCAAACAGGAUUAGAUACCCGAGUAGUC
Molecule: ribosomal RNA, 465 nt
Filed under: Vreelandella stevensii
Lineage: Bacteria; Pseudomonadati; Pseudomonadota; Gammaproteobacteria; Oceanospirillales; Halomonadaceae
Description: partial 16S ribosomal RNA
Rfam family: Bacterial small subunit ribosomal RNA
Source: RNAcentral